RNAcentral lists this long non-coding RNA (475 nucleotides) under Eutrema salsugineum. RNAcentral describes it as "long non-coding RNA (ESAL_LNC002180)". Lineage: Eukaryota; Viridiplantae; Streptophyta; Magnoliopsida; Brassicales; Brassicaceae. The record is from RNAcentral.
AAACGUUUUAAACAAAUGAUAGUAGGUUAGGGGUUGUCCAAUUAUGAGGAAUCGUCCUGUCUGUCAUCUUAUGUAAGAGAUCCAUUUCCCUCGUGGAAUUAUCUAAUUAUUCUCAUCAUCUCAUUUGUCUGUCUCAAUAACAUCGGAGGAUAAUCUUGGUAGAGUGAUCGAGUAAGCUAUCCAUGUUUUCUAGGUUGGUGUUGUUUCCAUUCAGUGUAACUCCUCAGAUUAGUUAAAUGAGCCUCGAUUAGAUGACAUCAGGGCGGCUGAUGAUCACUGCCAUUGAAGACCUCUUUAAGUGUUAGCGCUGUUCUCCUUGAGCUUCCAGGGAAAGAGCUUCUAAUAUGCAGAGUAGUUUUACGCAGCUUUUCAAAUUGUUAUCCGGUCGAGUUUUAUCUCGUUUUCAUUUGCUCGAUUUUAAAGAUCAGUAUCGCUUCAUACAGUUUUCUUAUUGGACUUGGUAAAAGAACCUUUU